GUGGAGAUGGCCCAGCCUGGUAAGGCGUCAGACUGCUAAUCUGAUGUCCUAUGGACUCGGGGGUUCGAAUCCCCCUCUCCACGCCA
This 86-nucleotide transfer RNA is filed under the name Candidatus Methanomethylophilaceae archaeon. Its description in RNAcentral is "tRNA-Ser". It matches the Rfam family "tRNA". Rfam says of the family: Transfer RNA (tRNA) molecules are approximately 80 nucleotides in length. Their secondary structure includes four short double-helical elements and three loops (D, anti-codon, and T loops). Lineage: Archaea; Methanobacteriati; Thermoplasmatota; Thermoplasmata; Methanomassiliicoccales; Methanomethylophilaceae. The record is from RNAcentral.